UAGGGAAUCUUCGGCAAUGGACGAAGGUCUGACCGAGCAACGCCGCGUGAGUGAAGAAGGUUUUCGGAUCGUAAAACUCUGUUGUUAGAGAAGAACAAGGACGUUAGUAACUGAACGUCCCCUGACGGUAUCUAACCAGAAAGCCACGGCUAACUACGUGCCAGCAGCCGCGGUAAUACGUAGGUGGCAAGCGUUGUCCGGAUUUAUUGGGCGUAAAGCGAGCGCAGGCGGUUUCUUAAGUCUGAUGUGAAAGCCCCCGGCUCAACCGGGGAGGGUCAUUGGAAACUGGGAGACUUGAGUGCAGAAGAGGAGAGUGGAAUUCCAUGUGUAGCGGUGAAAUGCGUAGAUAUAUGGAGGAACACCAGUGGCGAAGGCGGCUCUCUGGUCUGUAACUGACGCUGAGGCUCGAAAGCGUGGGGAGCAAACAGG
Molecule: ribosomal RNA, 429 nt
Filed under: Gemmatimonadota bacterium
Lineage: Bacteria; Pseudomonadati; Gemmatimonadota
Description: Gemmatimonadetes bacterium partial 16S ribosomal RNA
Rfam family: Bacterial small subunit ribosomal RNA
Source: RNAcentral